UUGAAUUUGAAAUUGGUGGAUAUCUGACCGUCGGAUCGUAAUGAAAUUUUAGUAUGUGGUUCUACAAACAUAAUGUGGACUUUGGGAAGUUACAGAUCAAGAAUCUAAUUGGCGGAUCUUCCGGUUUAGAUUUCUAGGGUUGUGGACCCUACUCUCGACCAUGAUCGAUGGUUGACUUUUUAGUCAACUAGCUUGAGUUCUUCUAGCGUGCUAUUGAUCUUAGAGUGUGGUUGAGAUGUUAUGGAGCUUGAUGGGCUCAUCGUGAUGACGUGUGUCCUUGAUUGACGUGCACCUCGAUUUACGUAUUAAUGACAUUAUAUUGUUAUAUGCUUGUUUAUUUUAUGUGAUUUGACGUGUGUAUUGAAAUGUUCUUCAAAUUGAGGGCUAGUAGGAGACCAUGACCCUACUUGGUUAAUCCGCGAUGAGGGGUCACUAGUAGUCUCGCUUGGUUAAUCCGCUAUAGGGAACCAUAUUAUUUAUGGAUCGUGCUUGGUUAAUCAGCGAUAGGCGAUCCUUAUGGCUAUACAUACUUAGGAGUGAUCAUGUUUGGUUAAUCUGCGAUGGGUGAUCACUACCUAACAGUUCCGUAGGUGUGACUCUGCUUGGUUAAU
Molecule: long non-coding RNA, 611 nt
Filed under: Malus domestica (apple)
Lineage: Eukaryota; Viridiplantae; Streptophyta; Magnoliopsida; Rosales; Rosaceae
Description: long non-coding RNA (MDOM_LNC001213)
Source: RNAcentral